RNAcentral lists this long non-coding RNA (437 nucleotides) under Homo sapiens (human). RNAcentral's name for it is "non-protein coding lnc-EIF4ENIF1-2:1". Lineage: Eukaryota; Metazoa; Chordata; Mammalia; Primates; Hominidae. The record is from RNAcentral.
AACAACUGCUAUUAGGGCAGCAGGAGAAACAAGCACUGGAGAGAGGCUGAGUAUGUGAAUAAUCCCACACUGUGAUCACUCAUGACACUCUGUCACCCAGGCUGGAGUGCAGUGGCCCAUCUUAGCUCACUGCAGCCUGGACCUCCCAGGCUCAAGCAGUCCUCACCUCAGCCUCCCGAACAGCUGGGACUGCAGGCAUGCACCACCAUGCCCACCUAAUUUUUUAAAUUUUUUUGUAGAGAUUGGGCCUCGCUAUGUUGUCCAGGCUGGUCUCGAACUCCUGAGCUCAGGCGAUCUUCCUGCCUUGACCUCCCAAAGUGCUGGGAUUACAGGUGUGAGCUACUGGGCCCAGCCCCCUCCGUCCAUAUUGUUACCCACCACACCAAGAUUUUCAUCAACCAGUUUCACAUAAUCAGAGCAAUCCCCUUAAAUUCCUA